UACAGAGGUGGCAAGCGUUGUUCGGAAUUACUGGGCGUAAAGGGCGCGUAGGCGGCCAUCUAAGUCAGACGUGAAAUCCCUCAGCUUAACUGGGGAACUGCGUGUGAUACUGGAUGGCUUGGAUUUGGGAGAGGGAUGCGGAAUUCCAGGUGUAGCGGUGAAAUGCGUAGAUAUCAGGAGGAACACCGGUGGCGAAGGCGGGUCUCUGGGCCGAUACUGACGCUGAGGAGCGAAAGCGUGGGGAGCGAACAGG
This 253-nucleotide ribosomal RNA is filed under the name uncultured bacterium. Its description in RNAcentral is "partial 16S ribosomal RNA". It matches the Rfam family "Bacterial small subunit ribosomal RNA", at positions 524 to 776 of the family's 1533-position model. The record is from RNAcentral.